RNAcentral lists this ribosomal RNA (449 nucleotides) under uncultured bacterium. RNAcentral describes it as "SSU rRNA". It matches the Rfam family "Bacterial small subunit ribosomal RNA", at positions 26 to 518 of the family's 1533-position model. The record is from RNAcentral.
AGAACGAACGCUGGCGGCAGGCUUAACACAUGCAAGUCGAACGCAUCUCUUCGGAGAUGAGUGGCAGACGGGUGAGUAACGCGUGGGAACGUACCCUUUGGUUCGGGAUAACCCGGGGGAAACUCGGGCUAAUACCGGAUAAGCCGGAAACGGGAAAGGUUUACUGCCGAAGGAUCGGCCCGCGUCGGAUUAGCUAGUUGGUGUGGUAACGGCGCACCAAGGCGACGAUCCGUAGCUGGUCUGAGAGGAUGAUCAGCCACACUGGGACUGAGACACGGCCCAGACUCCUACGGGAGGCAGCAGUGGGGAAUAUUGGACAAUGGGCGCAAGCCUGAUCCAGCCAUGCCGCGUGAGUGAAGAAGGCCCUAGGGUUGUAAAGCUCUUUCAGCGGGGACGAUAAUGACGGUACCCGCAGAAGAAGCCCCGGCUAACUUCGUGCCAGCAGCCGC